RNAcentral lists this ribosomal RNA (269 nucleotides) under Demodex injai. RNAcentral's name for it is "partial 16S ribosomal RNA". Lineage: Eukaryota; Metazoa; Arthropoda; Arachnida; Trombidiformes; Demodicidae. The record is from RNAcentral.
ACUUGUAUGAGGGGAAAAAUGAAGGGCUUUUGUUGAACCUAGUUUAGAGUGAAUUUGAAUUUUCUAUGAAAAUUUAGAAGUUUUUUCAAAGACGAGAAGACCCCAAAACCUUUAUUUUAGUUUAUAUAAGCUAAUUUUUAUUUGGGGGAAAGGGUAAUUAGUGUUAAUUGUUUUUUUAUAUUGAACUUUGGUAGGUUAAGUGGAUAGGUACUUUGGGGGUAACAGGAUUAUUUUUUUUUUGAGUUCUUAUUUUGGGAAGAGUUUAUUAC